Unclassified non-coding RNA from Pongo abelii (Sumatran orangutan), 148 nucleotides. It matches the Rfam family "Metazoan signal recognition particle RNA". From Rfam's summary of the family: The signal recognition particle (SRP) is a universally conserved ribonucleoprotein. It is involved in the co-translational targeting of proteins to membranes. The record is from Ensembl. Lineage: Eukaryota; Metazoa; Chordata; Mammalia; Primates; Hominidae.
GCCGGGCGUGGUGGCGGGCGCCUGUAGUCCCAGCUACUCGGGAGGCUGAGGCAGGAGAAUUGCUUGAACCCAGGAGGUGGAGCUUGCAGUGAGCCAAGAUCGCGCCACUGCACUCCAGCCUGGGUGACAGAGCGAGACUCCGUCUCGA